Aquila chrysaetos chrysaetos is the source of this 810-nucleotide long non-coding RNA. RefSeq lists it as uncharacterized. Lineage: Eukaryota; Metazoa; Chordata; Aves; Accipitriformes; Accipitridae. The record is from RefSeq and is a predicted model, not a curated record. The transcript is spliced from 2 exons.
UGCAGCGGUUAUUUGAGCACAGGUCAAAAUCCUCCGCGUCGGCGUAAAUCCCUCUUCCAGCUCAGCCCCCAGAGAAAGCUUCGGAAACCCUCCACGUCGUGCAGCAUCCCGACAAGCGGCCCGUGCCAGCGCCCAUCCCCGUACACAGCACACCCGCUCUGGUCAAUCUGACAUUCUGAAAUGGUCUGAAGAGCAAGACAAACCACUUUGUUUAUUUGGGAACGGGUCUGCUAACCAGUACGGCACCGCUUCAUCCCUACAUCACACCUUCUGCCACUCUGCACAGAAAUCAACCCACGGGGCUCUGCUCCGGCACCGGCACGGGAGGGCACGAGAUUAGAUCUGGUCGCACGGGCUGGAAGUUGCACAGAAACCCGUGCAGCAAUCCGGGAAAUGCCAGUUAAUAAUUUGCAGACCGUUUUACGGGGAUGUUGCCCUGUGUCGGGUGGAAGGUCUCGUUGCAGGAAGGGUCUGUGUCCCCACCUUCCCCCUCUGGCCUCCACUCUGUGCGGAGGGGUGCAGCGGCUGCCCCCCCGAAUGGGGUCCCCCUUCCCAUGGGAGCAUUUUAACUCGAGCUUUCCUUGAUCGAAAGGCUACCGAACCGCCCGGGCCUGAGUUAUCCUUGGGUUAUGCUGUUCUUGCAAUGUAAUUCUGAAAUAAAGCCACUUACGUAAAGCACGCUAGCCGAACCCCAGCCCCUGAGAUUAAAAGCCAUUUCUGCAAGCGGCCACACCGCCGACACGCCGCAGCGGAGGGCUGGGGGGAGCACGGUGACAGGAGGUCCCAAAAAUCCUGAUAUAAAUAAAUAAG